This 1253-nucleotide ribosomal RNA is filed under the name uncultured Actinomycetes bacterium. RNAcentral's name for it is "bacterial SSU rRNA". It matches the Rfam family "Bacterial small subunit ribosomal RNA", at positions 64 to 1332 of the family's 1533-position model. The record is from RNAcentral. Lineage: Bacteria; Bacillati; Actinomycetota; Actinomycetes.
GAACGAUGAUCCCAGCUUGCUGGGGAUUAGUGGCGAACGGGUGAGUAACACGUGAGUAACCUGCCCUUAACUCUGGGAUAAGCCUGGGAAACUGGGUCUAAUACCGGAUAUGACUCCUCAUCGCAUGGUGGGGGGUGGAAAGCUUUAUUGUGGUUUUGGAUGGACUCGCGGCCUAUCAGCUUGUUGGUGAGGUAAUGGCUCACCAAGGCGACGACGGGUAGCCGGCCUGAGAGGGUGACCGGCCACACUGGGACUGAGACACAGCCCAGACUCCUACGGGAGGCAGCAGUGGGGAAUAUUGCACAAUGGGCGAAAGCCUGAUGCAGCGACGCCGCGUGAGGGAUGACGGCCUUCGGGUUGUAAACCUCUUUCAGUAGGGAAGAAGCGAAAGUGACGGUACCUGCAGAAGAAGCGCCGGCUAACUACGUGCCAGCAGCCGCGGUAAUACGUAGGGCGCAAGCGUUAUCCGGAAUUAUUGGGCGUAAAGAGCUCGUAGGCGGUUUGUCGCGUCUGCCGUGAAAGUCCGGGGCUCAACUCCGGAUCUGCGGUGGGUACGGGCAGACUAGAGUGAUGUAGGGGAGACUGGAAUUCCUGGUGUAGCGGUGAAAUGCGCAGAUAUCAGGAGGAACACCGAUGGCGAAGGCAGGUCUCUGGGCAUUAACUGACGCUGAGGAGCGAAAGCAUGGGAGCGAACAGGAUUAGAUACCCUGGUAGUCCAUGCCGUAAACGUUGGGCACUAGGUGUGGGGACAUUCCACGUUUUCCGCGCCGUAGCUAACGCAUUAAGUGCCCCGCCUGGGGAGUACGGCCGCAAGGCUAAAACUCAAAGGAAUUGACGGGGGCCCGCACAAGCGGCGGAGCAUGCGGAUUAAUUCGAUGCAACGCGAAGAACCUUACCAAGGCUUGACAUGAACCGGAAACACCUGGAAACAGGUGCCCCGCUUGCGGUCGGUUUACAGGUGGUGCAUGGUUGUCGUCAGCUCGUGUCGUGAGAUGUUGGGUUAAGUCCCGCAACGAGCGCAACCCUCGUUCUAUGUUGCCAGCGCGUUAUGGCGGGGACUCAUAGGAGACUGCCGGGGUCAACUCGGAGGAAGGUGGGGACGACGUCAAAUCAUCAUGCCCCUUAUGUCUUGGGCUUCACGCAUGCUACAAUGGCCGGUACAAAGGGUUGCGAUACUGUGAGGUGGAGCUAAUCCCAAAAAGCCGGUCUCAGUUCGGAUUGGGGUCUGCAACUCGACCCCAUGAAGUCGGAGU